RNAcentral lists this ribosomal RNA (459 nucleotides) under uncultured bacterium. RNAcentral's name for it is "bacterial SSU rRNA". It matches the Rfam family "Bacterial small subunit ribosomal RNA", at positions 923 to 1379 of the family's 1533-position model. The record is from RNAcentral.
GCACAAGCGGUGGAGCAUGUGGUUUAAUUCGACGCAACGCGCAGAACCUUACCAGCCCUUGACAUCCCGGUCGCGGACUCCAGAGACGGAGUCCUUCAGUUCGGCUGGACCGGAGACAGGUGCUGCAUGGCUGUCGUCAGCUCGUGCCGUGAGAUGUUGGGUUAAGUCCCGCAACGAGCGCAACCCCCGUCCUUAGUUGCUACCAUUUAGUUGAGCACUCUAAGGAGACUGCCGGUGAUAAGCCGCGAGGAAGGUGGGGAUGACGUCAAGUCCUCAUGGCCCUUACGGGCUGGGCUACACACGUGCUACAAUGGCGGUGACAAUGGGACGCUAAGGGGCAACCCUUCGCAAAUCUCAAAAAGCCGUCUCAGUUCGGAUUGGGCUCUGCAACUCGAGCCCAUGAAGUUGGAAUCGCUAGUAAUCGUGGAUCAGCACGCCACGGUGAAUACGUUCCCGGGC